GUGGGGAAUCUUGCGCAAUGGGCGAAAGCCUGACGCAGCCAUGCCGCGUGAAUGAUGAAGGUCUUAGGAUUGUAAAAUUCUUUCACCGGGGACGAUAAUGACGGUACCCGGAGAAGAAGCUCCGGCUAACUUCGUGCCAGCAGCCGCGGUAAUACGAAGGGGGCUAGCGUUGCUCGGAAUUACUGGGCGUAAAGGGCGCGUAGGCGGACAGCUUAGUCAGAGGUGAAAGCCCAGGGCUCAACCUUGGAGUUGCCUUUGAUACUGGCUGUCUUGAGUUUGGGAGAGGUGAGUGGAACUCCGAGUGUAGAGGUGAAAUUCGUAGAUAUUCGGAAGAACACCAGUGGCGAAGGCGACUCACUGGCCCAAUACUGACGCUGAGGCGCGAAAGCGUGGGGAGCAAACAGGAUUAGAUACCCUUGUAGUCC
Molecule: ribosomal RNA, 425 nt
Filed under: uncultured bacterium
Lineage: Bacteria
Description: partial 16S ribosomal RNA
Rfam family: Bacterial small subunit ribosomal RNA
Source: RNAcentral